ACUGCAGGCUGCAACUCGCCUGCACGAAGUCGGAAUUGCUAGUAAUCGUAGGUCAGCAUACUACGGUGAAUACGUUCCCGGGCCUUGUACACACCGCCCGUCAACCAUGAGAGUUGGCAACACCCGAAGUCGGUAGUCUAACCGCAAGGAGGACGCCGCCGAAGGUGGGGUUGAUGAUUAGGGUUAAGUCGUAACAAGGUAGC
This 203-nucleotide ribosomal RNA is filed under the name uncultured bacterium. RNAcentral's name for it is "partial 16S ribosomal RNA". It matches the Rfam family "Bacterial small subunit ribosomal RNA", at positions 1297 to 1500 of the family's 1533-position model. The record is from RNAcentral.